AGAGCGGGAUGCAGCCAAGGAUGAAUUGCCGGCCGCCGCCGCCGCCACGCACCGGUGCCCGCAACACUGCUCGCAUCCAUCCAUCCACGCCGGCAAGUCUAUCCAUGGCUACAUCUAGCUCUCU
RNAcentral lists this microRNA precursor (124 nucleotides) under Setaria italica (foxtail millet). The record is from RNAcentral. Lineage: Eukaryota; Viridiplantae; Streptophyta; Magnoliopsida; Poales; Poaceae.